Molecule: non-coding RNA, 683 nt
Organism: Paramuricea clavata
Lineage: Eukaryota; Metazoa; Cnidaria; Anthozoa; Malacalcyonacea; Plexauridae
Source: the annotation of a GenBank genome assembly
AAAAAAGUUUUGUACAGAAAAAAACGUGUCUAAAAACCCAUUCCAGUGGGAUUUUUUACGAAAAGCAAUAGUUCUGAACAGAAUAUAUACAGAAAUCGUCGUUUACUGAAUAAAUUUUGAACGUUGUUGAAACGUUGUUGUGUAUCCGCUAUUAUUUCUAUGGGGCAGGGGUUACUAGAAAACACGCUCGUUAGAAAACAGUUUUCUUCUUGACAAUAUGAUCCCUACCCUGGUUGCCAGAGGUUCUGGUAUCUUCCGCCCUAUUCUCGCUCGUGUUUUACGUAAUUUAUUAUUUAUAAUAUUUUACAAGUUUGCCAUUGCAAUGGAUCUAGAGUAUAUGGUUGCGGUGACUGGAAUUUCCACACAGAGAUAGUUCUCCAAUAACGGGGUUCCAAAAAAGAACAACUAAUGGUAUAUCUAAUUAUUUUGAAAUUAAACUGCAAACAUAACAAUAAAACACAAAUACAAGAAGACAAAGCAAACGUAUUGACGAACAAACGAACAAAAACUAAAUUUAGCAACAUGUUCGAGUUGAUAAGUUCAUUAGUGGGCGAGUGGUGUGACAUUUAAUACACACAGACUUAAAUGUUCUUGCAUAUUCAGGGUCAUAAAUUUAUUGGGUUAAUACGGCAGCACAAGAACCUCUGGAACCAAGGACAGGGUAUAUGUUCCCCCAACGAAAG